RNAcentral lists this small nucleolar RNA (83 nucleotides) under Cebus imitator (Panamanian white-faced capuchin). RNAcentral's name for it is "Small nucleolar RNA SNORD115 (ENSCCAG00000012180.1)". It matches the Rfam family "Small nucleolar RNA SNORD115". Rfam says of the family: HBII-52 is a member of the C/D class of snoRNAs, which contain the C (UGAUGA) and D (CUGA) box motifs. HBII-52 is encoded in a tandemly repeated array with another C/D snoRNA, HBII-85, in the Prader-Willi syndrome (PWS) region of chromosome 15. HBII-52 is exclusively expressed in the brain but is absent in PWS patients. The record is from Rfam by way of RNAcentral. Lineage: Eukaryota; Metazoa; Chordata; Mammalia; Primates; Cebidae.
GGGUCAAUGAUGAGAACUUCAUGUUGUCCUGAAGGGAGGUGAUGACUUAAAAAGUCAUGCUCAAUAGGAUUACGCUGAGGCCC